RNAcentral lists this ribosomal RNA (766 nucleotides) under Bradyrhizobium elkanii. Its description in RNAcentral is "bacterial SSU rRNA". It matches the Rfam family "Bacterial small subunit ribosomal RNA", at positions 64 to 856 of the family's 1533-position model. The record is from RNAcentral. Lineage: Bacteria; Pseudomonadati; Pseudomonadota; Alphaproteobacteria; Hyphomicrobiales; Nitrobacteraceae.
GCGGUCUCAAGUACCUUCCCACGACGGGCAUAGCAAUAUGUCCCGCAGACGGGUGAGUAACGCCGUGGGACGUACUUUUGGUUCGGAACAACUGAGGGAAACUUCAGCUAAUACCGGAUAAGCCCUUACGGGGAAAGAUUUAUCGCCGAAAGAUCGGCCCGCGUCUGAUUAGCUAGUUGGUGAGGUAAUGGCUCACCAAGGCGACGAUCAGUAGCUGGUCUGAGAGGAUGAUCAGCCACAUUGGGACUGAGACACGGCCCAAACUCCUACGGGAGGCAGCAGUGGGGAAUAUUGGACAAUGGGCGCAAGCCUGAUCCAGCCAUGCCGCGUGAGUGAUGAAGGCCCUAGGGUUGUAAAGCUCUUUUGUGCGGGAAGAUAAUGACGGUACCGCAAGAAUAAGCCCCGGCUAACUUCGUGCCAGCAGCCGCGGUAAUACGAAGGGGGCUAGCGUUGCUCGGAAUCACUGGGCGUAAAGGGUGCGUAGGCGGGUCUUUAAGUCAGGGGUGAAAUCCUGGAGCUCAACUCCAGAACUGCCUUUGAUACUGAAGAUCUUGAGUUCGGGAGAGGUGAGUGGAACUGCGAGUGUAAGGUGAAAUUCGUAGAUAUUCGCAAGAACACCAGUGGCGAAAGGCGGCUCACUGGCCCGAUACUUGACGCUGANGCACGAAAGCGUGGGGGAGCAAACAGGAUUAAAUACCCUGGUAAUCCACCCUAAACAAUGAAUGCCACCCGUUAUGGGGUUUCUCCUAAGCCCACUACCCUUAAC